This 73-nucleotide ribosomal RNA is filed under the name Proteus mirabilis. RNAcentral describes it as "partial 23S ribosomal RNA". Lineage: Bacteria; Pseudomonadati; Pseudomonadota; Gammaproteobacteria; Enterobacterales; Morganellaceae. The record is from RNAcentral.
GCGUAGCGAUACGUUGAGCUAACCAGUACUAAUGAACCGUGAGGCUUAACCUGACAACACCGAAAGUGUUUUG